This is a long non-coding RNA of Penaeus monodon (black tiger shrimp), 920 nucleotides long. RefSeq lists it as uncharacterized. The record is from RefSeq and is a predicted model, not a curated record. NCBI's taxonomy places the organism in Eukaryota, Metazoa, Arthropoda, Malacostraca, Decapoda, Penaeidae. The transcript is spliced from 2 exons.
CUCUCUUCCCUCUCCGGUUCUCCCCCUCUGUUAUGUACAGUGUCUGUUCAGGAGACAGAGAGAGAGAGUGUGUGUGUGUGUUGUGUUCACAGCUAGUUCACUGUCAUAUGUUUCAGCCACAGAAAAGAUAUUUCGUUGUCUAAUCUAGAAUUCCAGUAUCUUGAUGGAUAAUUUCACCGUGCAUUCGUAAAUACAGUGAAAAUAGUUCUUAGCAUUUAUGGAUUCCAUUCUUGCCUUGUGUAUAGCACGUGUAUAAAAAAAGAGAAAAGUCUGCCGUUAAACGUUUCGUUAAUUAAUCACCAACUUGACAAUCCGUGUGUUUAACUUUUCGUUGGGAAAAUAACAGGUAAUAUGAAGCCUGUUGAUUAGACCUGAACAAAUUGAUAAGACCCAACCCCUCCCUCCCUCGAACUCCCCUCCCUCCUCCCCCCUACACAUAUCUCGACUCUGACCUACUGAUAAGAGAGCUGAUAACGGAGGCAGCAGUAUCUUCUUCAAUACCUUUCUAGCUCGUCUCGUCGUAAAUGAUCCGGUGACUUGGAAGUUGUGUGCGUGUGAUGGAGUAGAAAGAGAGAGAAAGAGAGGAUAAGAAAAUACAGGAACAGAAACAACAAAAGACAACAACAACAAAAAAAUCUCUCACUAAAAUCAGUUAAAGAGAAAGAAAAAAGAAACAAAGAAAGAAAGAAGAAAAAAAUAGCAAUAAAAACAAUAAUGUAAAAAGAAUAAAAAUUAAAUUGACGCACCAGUAAAUAGUGAAAAAAACAAUAAUAACAAAAACUAAAAGGAAGAAAAGAAAAUCUACAACAGCAAAUCCACAACCACAACAACCACAGCUUCUCUAAUAACACCUCAGCAACCACAACCCCGACAUUACAACCUCACAACCCCGACAUAACAACCUCACAACCCCGACAUAA